RNAcentral lists this long non-coding RNA (10709 nucleotides) under Olea europaea (common olive). RNAcentral describes it as "long non-coding RNA (OEUR_LNC010737)". The stretch from base 6097 to 6168 matches the Rfam family "tRNA". Lineage: Eukaryota; Viridiplantae; Streptophyta; Magnoliopsida; Lamiales; Oleaceae. The record is from RNAcentral.
CACAAGUGGAUCAGCAACUCAUCUGGGAAGAAUAAUUCCUGAUGAAGAAAGAUCAUAUACAUCAUAUGCUCCUCGUGAACUUUCUGAAUACAAUCAAAGACCGCUUUUGACACAAGCUUCCCUGGAACCAUCUGAAUACAAUCAGAGAUACCACCUCCUUGGCGGCGAGACCAAAUACAUGUCCACAACAGUCUCAAACCGCUAUUCUUUUGGAGGACCCUCUGUCACACGCCGCUGAAUGAAUCUCUGCACUCAUCUCGUUACCUUCAUAAAAUUAUGCUUUUAACGGGUACAUCCUGCACUCUCAAGCUUUCCUGUGCGGAUCAAGAUUUAACAAAAGAGUUGUAACUCUGCAUAAAUUCUCUUUAUUUUACUUUAUUUUUGUGUACUUGGAGUCUAGACUCCUAAAACCUGUCUAGGAGAAGAAUGCUUGAUCAACUUUUGAGAGGAUGUGGCGUACUUCUUAUGCUAAGAUUUUGCAUGCUGAUUGAUUAGUCUUGUGGGUCUGUUCUUGUCUGAAUCAAUUCCAAAGCACUACUUUCCUUCCCGUCAGGAUUAAAUCUAUCCUUUCUGUUCAAUCUGAGAUGUUCUAUCAGUUUGCUUUAUUUCCAUGUAUUUGUAAUCAGUCUUAAUUCAGGAUGGAAGUUCCAAGAGUAAAGAGUACAUUUCUAACACUUCAAGUAACAUUUUUAGCUAAUGUAUGUCGUCUUCUCUACUAUCAACGAAUAUUAUUGGUCUUUUGCAUCUCAAUCAGCAGUGAAUGAUUUUGUUCUUCCAAUGUUUGAUGGAUAGAGAAAUCUGGUUUAAGACCAAUGUUGCCGGAGGGCAUCAAAAAUAUCUUGGUGUGGCUGUUAUUUAACUGAUAUCGGGUUCUUUUAGUGCUGCAGAUCCAUACACUAGAGUUUUCAUUGCAAAAAACAGGUACUUUUCGAGAAAACUGUAGUUUUUCGUUGUUGAUGGUACCAAGAAACCAAGUUUUAUUCUUAAUAAAGUUGGAGUGGGCAGCACAAAUUAUUUAAACCAAGUUUUAUCUUAAUAAAGUUGGAGUUGCCAGCAUAAAUUAUUUGUAUCCAUUUCGUUUUGUUGCAAAUACCCUUUGAAAAUGCGUAUAGUAGAUCUCUAAAAGUAGGUUAUAUUGAGAGACUAAAAACACUUCAAUAUUUAUGGUAACAAGGGAAAAAAGAAAAGGAUGAGCGUGUAUGACUGGUGUUUUCUUGUUUGAUAUGUAUCCUAUAAUAAGCAAACGAAGUUUGACUUCGUGCUUUUUCUCCCUCUAACCUAUAUGCUACUGUUAAUUUGUGUUGACGAAACGAGUUAGAUUCAAAAGUUCACACAUUCAUUUCAAGGAAACAUUACAGAUCACAGUACAUCUUUAACAGUUCCAAAGCCUCUCUCAAAUAAUGAUUUCAGCAAUCGUCUACGGGCCUAUAAGAACAAAGGCCAUCUUUAUGGGACCACUAAAUUCCUUGCACAAGUAUCCUAUUACUGAUCAGUCUCGGGAGCUUGAGCAUCCGUAUUAGAACCAUCAAUGCCUCCAGUUGUUUGUACAGAGGCAUUCCCUGGAUACAUUUGGGGAGUAAACAUUGGUGGGGCACCACUAGUAGGCAUUCCCGCACUUCCAGAAACCGUCGGAGGAGGAGCACUUGCGGGCAUUUGAAAACCAUUUGCUUGACCAGGUGGAGGAGCCAUAUAACCUGGCGACAUGAAGACGUAAAUACAAAGUUCUAGAGAAGCAAUGAAGCACUUGCCAGAUUAAGAGCAUGUUUGGCUAAGCCUGAAAGUUUAGUCAUGUCCUCAAUAAAUAACGUUUUUAUGGGUCAAAGUUGAAAAUAAGUUACUUAUAUUGACAGUUAAGCAAGAGUUACUUUCAAAAUUAACUUACUUUUUUAAAAAGGAAAGUACUGUAUUCACACAUAAUUGGAUAUAAAAGGUAUUUCAGAGUAACAUUUACUUCUUUUGAGCUUUAGCCAAACAACGUCUCAGAGAAAUCUAUUGGCUAACACCUCCAUUUCUUAGCACCUGAUAUUCCCUCCCCAAACCCAUUGAUAAGCAUACAACAAUCCCUACACUGAUUCAAGUCCCUGAUCUUGCAGUGUUUUGCGUUCUUGAUUCUAAGAUACGUAGAUUAUCUAGAAGACAAAAACUCAUAUAAAUGCCAACUUCCUGGGACAUAUGCUUCGAUCAAAUAUCAGCUGAGCAUAAGCAAGAAAAGAUGAAAAAUUUAAGGGGAAAAAGGCUGGGAUCACAUUAAAACAUUUCACAUACCAGGAGCUCCAAGCAUGGGCCUUGGCAAAACUGGAGGCCUAAAACCUGGAAACUGAGCCCCUGGAAUCGGCAUUGGAGUAGGUAGAAUUGGUAGACCAGGUCUCAUCUGAGGGUAUGGAGCAACAGGAGGCCUAAAUGCCCCAAGAUGCUCCUUGACCUUUUGAUCAAUCAAACUUUGGUUCAAUUGUGCCUCAUAUUGUUGAUAAUAAGUACGCACAUUUGCCUGCUCGAAAUGUAUAAAAUGACUUUUACAUAAACCUUCAAGCAAGAAAUAAGACGAAGUUGGGGGCGGGUUGAAGUUAAAGUGAGAAUACCUUAUGUUUGUAUCCCGCGUUAUGUUGUUUUCUAACAGAAGGCUGUACACCCAAAAAAUUUCAAAAAAUAAGCAAUUAUGAAAGUGAAAGACUUUAAAAAACAUCAAAUAUCAGAUAAAUGAUAAAAAUGUGAGAAAUAACCCAGAUAGUUCUUUGAAAAAGUAAUCUCACAAUGACUAAAUAAUCAAGAGGAGAAAGAAAAGGAAUAAAAUUAAGACAUUUACAUUUUCAGAAGCAAUAAUAACAGAAAAUUAAUAGAGAAGAUUUUUGAAUGUGACAAAAAAUUAAGCAUUAUUGGACCUAUAGCAUCACUAUCUUCUUUCUUUUUCCAUGGAUAAAUUUCAAGUUUUCGCAAAAAACUUAAUGAAAAAAUAUAAACAAUUACAGAAGAAGGAUGAUGACUCACGGAAUCGUGUGUCAAGUAGGUGUCACAAUAAUCACAAUAAUACCUGAAGACAUAAACAAAUACAUCAAAGAUUGAAAUUCGAUGACUCUAAAUUCAGAUAUAUUAUAAAAAGAAUAAGAAAAGAGAAAGAUAUACCUGGGCAUUAUGUGUUACGAAGAACUUCUUUAACAAUCUGUGAAACAGCGGGGCACCAAAAAAAUAAAAAUAAAAAUAAAAAUCAUACACCAAAAGAACGAACAAAACCCUAGAUCGCAUAAAUAUUAACAUAUCAAUAAAUAUUUACAAAAAUGCUCAGUCUUUACACACUAAAUCAAAAUUUACAUCACUACAGACAUAAAAUAGAAAAAUAAUACAUUAAUCACAAGGUAUUCUUCUACCCAAAGCUAAUGAACUGUCAAAAUUCUAUCCUCUGCAUAAGGAAAUGAUGGAUUCCAACAGAUUACCUAAGAUUAGCAACAAAAAAUUCAUUGAUUCAACACUAUUACUCCUCGUGGAACAUUUUUUCAGCCAAAUCCACAUAACAUAUUCUAUUCAAAGCUAGCACAAUGUAAAAUUCCAUAUAGAACAAUGAAAAUUAGAAACGAAUCCAAGAGUUGCAAUAAGCAUAGCCCAACCAAGUACCCAGUUUAAAAAAUAAAAAAAAUAAAAAAAAAUAGUCUUCUUCUACCUUUGGAUGAAUUUCAAUACGCAAGACGACGUACUCAAAUGGGAAAAAAACCAUAAAGCCUACUCCACUGACACUUAUUAUAUUGCUCUCAAGCACGCCAACCUAAAAUUAUUCAUUGGGAGAAGAUUUGGUUAGGGUUAAAUUUGGGACUAUUUAAUUUAUAACUGUGACUUUAUUGUAUCAAAUCCAUGUAUGAGCCACAUUCUAUCUAAAAAAUAUAUUAUUCAUGUUAAAUCAAUGAGAAAUAUAUGAUUAUAAAUAAGAAAAAAAUUUAGAUUUAAAGCAUCAUUACAAUUACAACACUACUAACUUAAUCCCAAUUUAGAAACAAUCGAAAACAUGAAAACAAUCCAUUUUUUUCCGAGAAUAACAACAGAUAUACCCUUUUGCGCAUACGGUGGACAAAAUCAUCAAACCGAAAUAAACAAACUCAAGGAGAAAAACCCGACGUACCAUCAGAACUUAAAAAAAUCAAAUAUUUUCUCACAUACAUGGGCUCUAUGGUUUAUAGAAAUGGAAAAAUCCAAUCUACAGUAUAUGACGAAAUAACGGAAUUUCUGCAUUUACCCAUUAGAAUUUGUGGGUGAAGAUGGAGCCAUUUUAGAGGAUGAUCACCUUGGCUGGUGAGGAAGUCAUAACAGAACGAGGGUGCGGUGGAGUAUAAUAACUGCAGCUGAACUCUCUUUAUUUUUGAGAGAAUUGUAAUCUGUUUAGAGUUCCUCGUCUACUAAUAUUUCUAACAAAAUAUAACACACUUCUAAAAUUCAUGAGAGAUGAAUUGUGCGUCACCUACUCCCAGGGCCGGUCAUGUGAUUGUCGGGGUCCGAGGCGAAGUCCAAAAAUUAGGCCCUCCAAAAUGAACGUAAAUGCAAAAUUCGACGAUAUAUUAUGCAACACAUUAUUAACUUAAAACUUAAAAUUAAAACAACAAACAAAUAUCUUAAUCAUCUCAAAAUUAAUGAAAAAACUAUUUUCUUUCUUUCAAUAUAAAAAAUAUAAAAAAUAAAAACUUUGGGCCAAAAUAGACCCUUUGUGGGUUUGGACUUGAGGCACGGGCCUCAUUUGUCUGUGCCCAGGACCGGCUCUGCCUACUCCCCUAAUCAGGUCGACAAAUUCGAAACAAUCAGUACACACGUAUGUUUAUUGGUGGAAUGUCAGAUGAUAAUGUAUAUGAUAAUAUUAUAAGUACACAUUUCAAUAAUAUUAGCUAUUAUUUCACUAUUGAAGAUUCGCCUUGCCAUAUGGGAAGAGGAGUACGUUUGGUUAGGUUUGGACGCAAUUUGAUUUGGAUCUAUUUCGACUCCAAUCCAAAAUAAAACUAAAUUAAUCGAUUUGAACGAAUUUCAACCCAAGUUAAACCACUCUAGCUCUUAAAAUCAAAUUGAAUGAAACUAAAUCGGUUUAGUUAAUCGGUUUGGACUUUUAAUUCAAAUUUUAUUUUUUAAAAAUUAAUUGUCUUAAUUUUGAGCAUACUUAGAUUACAAGAACUAAAAUAACCAAAUAAGUUUAUAUUACGAUAACUAAUAACUAAUAAAUAAAAUCAGGUUAAUAGAAUCGGAUCAACGGAAAACUUAAGAAUUUUGUUGAUUUUUUUAUAUAUUAUAUAAUUUAACUGUCUGAGUAAAAAAAAAUGUUAAGCAUAACAUAAUGAGCAUGUGAAAAAAAAUUCACAAUGCUAUUAUUUACCGACAAUAUCAUAUAUUGAAGGAAUCGAAAUAUAAUUACAAGAUUAGGGCUCAUCUUUUGAUUUUUAUUUUUCUGAAAUUAAAAAUAAAAAUACACGUGUAAGUGGGUUGGAUUAAUUUGAUUAACCAACAGUUUGAGACUUCAAACCAUAAUUGAACCGACUACCAUGAUUUUGUUCAAAAGAAAAGAAAAUCAAACCAAACUAAUUAUCUAUGUCGAACCGACCCGUGUUGGUUCGAGUUGGUUGGUUUUAUCGAUUUUUUCGUCUAGGCAUAUGUUCGAUACAGGACAUGGCACAGAGAAUGAUUGAUUUUGAAUUCGAUUCGGGGUCUUGUACAUGCUUUAAUUCAUCUGUUAGUGUUUCGUAUGUAAAUUGAUACAAUAACAAGUCUAUAUAAUAAGAGUAUUUUGUGAAAUUUAUGAAAUCAUUGGCCAUAAUCGUCAUCCAUCAAAAACAUUUAAUCAGUUUUUAUGUCUAGUUGUUUAUUUGAAAGAGACAAAAAUUGCAUGAGGAUUAGUAUAUAAUUAUAUAUGUUUCUUGUUUUAGCUAUUGAAGUUAUAAUUUCCGACAUAUAUAUUUCAAGAGGUGACACAUUUUCUUCGAAAUGGCACGAAUUUAUUCUCUCUUGCUUGCCACCAGUAUUAGUACUUUGUCUUUCAUUUAAAAUAAAUUCGCAACUAGAACUAAGAAUUCAGUCAUAAUAAUAAUUUAUUAAAAGACUGGAUAGAUAGAUAAAUGGAAGCAGCGUAGCAUCGAUGGGCAUUUGGUCUAGUGGUAUGAUUCUCGCUUUGGGUGCGAGAGGUCCCGAGUUCGAUUCUCGGAAUGCCCCUUUUUCAUGUUGUGAUGAAUGAAAAUUACUUAACCCUUGUUUGAUUACUAUUAUUGAGGGAAAAAAAUGAUUUUAAAGAAUAAUGCUUCUUAUAUAUAAUCAGUUAAGAGAUGAGUAGUCAAAAGAGGAAUGAAAGUUUUUAUUUUUCUAUUUGAUUGAAAAAAUUCUAGUCCAAUCAUGUCUCACAAUAUCAUGUGUAUGUAUACCAUUAUGUAAUCCUAUUAUUUAUAUGUAAUACAAUCAUAUUUUAAAUAUUGAUUUUUUGUAGAAUGUGUUGUUAAAAAGUAGGAAAAAAUUUUGAGUUUCUCUUUUCUUUUUUUUUCUUUUUUUUUUUUAAAUAUGUCAUUGAAAAUAAAUAUGAGAAUCAAAGAGAUUUUUUUUAAAAAAAAAAAAACGAAAAACAAAUAGGGAAUAUUCAAAAAUGAAUUUCAUAAUUAUGUUUAGAAGUAAAAGCGUUACUUUUUUAAACCCGUGGUUUCCUUUUAUAUUUUUCCUUUUUUUUAAAAAACUCAAGAUUGCUUCAAUUGCACAUAAAAAGUAAAAAGGUACUUAAAACACGAAUGAACUAUAUAUAUGCUAAGAAAGCAUAAUAACUUGUUUCGUAUGUGAAGUUUAAUCCUUUUUUCAUGUACCUCGUUUAUGGUUUCUAUUCUAAUUUGACAGUUGUGAAAAAAUAAUGAUAAUUUAAAGAAUAAUGCUACUUGUAUAUACUCAUUUAAUAGAUGAGGUGCCCAAAGAAGAAUGAAAUUUUUUUUCUAUUUGUGUGAAAAAAUUCUAGUCCAAUCACGUCUCACAAUAUCAUGUGUAUGUAUACCAUUAUAUAAUCCUAUUAUAUAUAUGUAAUACAAUCAAAUUUUAGAUAUUGAUUUUUCUUGAAUGUAUUGUUAAAAAGUAGGGAUUUUUUUUUUUUUUUUUGGAAAAUAUGUGAUUGAAAAUGAAUAUGAGAAUUAAAGACAUUUUUUAAAGGAAAACAAAUAAGGAAUAUUCAAAAAUGAAUUUCAUAAUUAUGUUUAGAAGUAAAAAGACUACUUUUUUAAAGCCGCGGUUCCCUUGUAUAUUUUUCCUUUUUCUUUAAAAAAAAAAAGCCUCGAGAUUGCUUCAAUUGCACAUAAAAAGUAAAAAGGUACUUAAAACAUGAACGAACUAUAUAUAUGCUAAGAAAGCCCCAUAACUUCGUUCGUAUGGGAAGUUUAAUCCUUUUUCUCUGUACCUCAUUUAUGGUUUCUAUUUUGAUUUGACGGGUUUAACUUGAUAGCGCCUUUAAAGGUGAAAUUUAAUUGCACGGGCUGUGCUACAGCAAGAAUGAUCCAUCUCACCUAAGGAGGCGGUAAGCUUGUACAAGUCGAAUAACCUAAAUUUCAUAGGCAAUAUAUUUGCGUGUAUUGAUGGGUACAAAAAAAUUAAAAAAAAAAAAAUAUGUAUAUAUAUAUAUAUAUUUUCCUUCACAUCAAAUCUAUUGUUUUUUAAUUUGGGCCCAAUAUGUAUCUUUACACUUCUCAUCCCAGCCCGCACAGAAACAUCGUCUUCCUCGAUUCACCGAAAUCAAUUUGCUGAAAUCUGCGCCAAUUAUCUCUUGCUAAUAUCAAAUCUCUCUUUCGAUCUACUUGACCAAGCAUCAAUUCGAGGUCAUUUGUACAACUUUUACUCAAUUAUUAUUAUUAUUAUUAUUAUUAUUAUUAUUAUUAUUAUUAUUAUUAUUAUUAUUGUAUUUGCAAUUAAUGGUUAUUUGGGGCCGAAUAAUAGUUUUUUGUGAUUUUUAUGUUGUCUUUUCUGUAAUCUCCGGUUGUUUCAGUUUUGUCGGGUGAUUUUCUUGUCUAACUCAAUAUAGUACUUAAUUUUGGGAAGGAAUGGAAAUAGGUUUUGAAAUUAGCUAUUACUGACUAAAGAGCAAAGUUUUUUUUUUUUUUUUUCCGAGUAUGUUUUUCAUUUGCUUAUGAUUCCUUUCUGUAAAAUGAAGAUAAUGGGAGUAGAAAAUUUCGUAGAUAUUGAAUUCCGUUUCCGCUCCCUGUCGAUUGAAUAUGAACUGAAGACAAUAAAAAUCAGAUGUAAAUCCUAGCUACCAUAUGUGAUGCACAAGCGAAGUUAUAGAGAGGCGUUGAAUUAAACCAAUUUAAAAGGGAAAGGGGAAAAAUGAAAGGUUGGAGUAUCUCGCUGUCACAAUGUACUAGAAAAUUAUAUUACAUUUGAUUUCUGGUACUUGAUACCAUUUUCAUAAGUGUAAAAUUAUUGUCUUGUUGGUGUUUCAAACACUCGGCGAUUGUUCUUCUCAUUUCCAAAUGGCUGGACUAGAAAAGAAACGAGUCAACUUUUAGUCUUCUGAAACAAUUGGAUGCUUGGUAAUACUCGACGAGAAAGAAACAUUUCGUUUAGCUGCAAAAGGCUUUCAUUUCCCCUCUUAUGUAUUGUGCUGGGUAUUUUUUUUUGGAACCCUUACCUUUAUGACUUCUGUAUUGCUGUUGCUUAAUGUAAGAAUGCUCUUUGUGAUUUAGAAUUGAAUUCAUGUUCCAAAUGCAAACAAUUGUCACUUGUGAGGUAUUUGCACUAUUUCAUCUGACUUUGAGAAGAGGCUUGGUUAGCAGAAAAGGAUAUGGCACGCACAAGACAGAGGAAGAAAGUUCGUGUUGCUGCUGAAUCUACUUCUAGAGAGGUGGUUUUGAACAACAAAAUGCCGAAUAACAAGAAAAAAGGUGGCAAAGCCACCAAAUCUAAACAAAUAGUGUCUAACAAAAAACCAUUGGAAGACGAGAGAAAAGGUGGAAUUGCUGUGGGAUCUACUUCAGUAUCAGUAGUUUCUGAUGAGAAGGCUCCCAGGGCUCUUGAGCCCAAUCCUCAGAUUGCAGGCAAAUGUCCAAUUCCAAAUUCUGCCCCAGGCGAAGAAGCAAAAACCAUUUCAGAGGUUCAAGCCAUAAAAGGCAAUAAAAGGAAGAGAACAAAUGAAGGAGUAGAAGAAAAUAAUAGUAAUAAAAAAGAUGGAACAAAUGAUGCAAGUUCACCUCAUGGGAAAGAGAAAAGGGGUAUUUUAAAUGAGAAAAAUGAAGAUGAGAAGCCCGGGAAAAAUCUUGGUGGACUGAUUUUUAUGUGUAAUACCAAAACUAAACCAGAUUGUUUCCGUUACCAUGUGAUGGGUAUCUCAGCAAGCCGGAAAGAGUUUGUAAUGGGCAUAAAGCCUGGUCUUAAGCUUUUCCUCUAUGAUUUUGAUCUCAAGCUCCUGUAUGGAAUCUAUGAAGCAUCUUCUUCUGGUGGCAUGAAACUUGAACCAGCUGCAUUUGGGGGGGCCUUCCCUGCUCAGGUUGCUAUCUCUAGAUGCCUUAACUCUGUUUUAUAUCCAUUUAACCUGAGGAUAUUUUUAUAAUUAUAGUUUUUCAUUCAACAGGUCCGCUUCGCUGUUCAUAGGGAUUGCCUUCCGCUGCCUGAGAAUAUAUUUAAGAAAGCAAUCAAAGACAAUUAUGAUGAAAGGACUCGCAAGUUCAAGACAGAGUUAACCUCGUCCCAAGUAAGAAGAUAACCUUUUCUUUUCAUUCAUCAGUAGUUUUAUAUUUUCAAAAUGUGUAUUUGUGGAAUUCUAACUACAAAUAUUCCCAACCGCUGUUUCUCUUCCUUGCAGGUAAAGCACCUGUCAAGUUUAUUCCAGCCAACCCCAAAGUUGCAUUCAAAUGGUAAGUCUUUGGUUCGGGGAUCGGAAUUUGUGCAUGUUCCUGCUCCAGCACCAAAAGUCUUGCCAACAGCAAUUUUGCACACUGAGGAGAACUUCAGACAUCAUGGCAGUAUUAAACCAGGAGAAGACAUUAUCUGGGUUGAUAAAGAGAGGAAAUUCUCUGAGCACCAUGUCUCUUCCACUGAUGUUCCUUCACAGGGUCCACUUUUUCUCACAGAGCAAGAAUACAGAAAUUAUGGUCUUCGACAGGGAAGUGAUCUGUUGCCAACCGCUGUAGGUGGUACCGUUGCCGUUGCCCGUGCACGGGAGCCUAGAAAUCUUGAACAAGAGAAGGAUCAGCUUCUAAGGAACCCUGCUUCUACAUAUAACAAUGUAACUUUACAACAGAGAGAGGUCAGUCGACCUGAUACUUUUUUUCUCAGUGAAAAAGAGUACCGCACUUAUGGGCUCAGAGGUCCCCGUGAAAUGCAGACUGAGGUGUCUCCUAUGGUAAGUACUAAUCAAGCUGUUGAAGUGGCAUAUAAUCUUUAUAAUGAAAGCACCACAUCAUUGGUAAAUCGAUAUCUUUCGCUGCCACCAACGACAACAACACCACCUGCCAGAUUACAUCCUCCUAGAAAUUAUCUAAACUCCACAAGUGGAUCAGCAACUCAUCUGGGAAGAAUAAUUCCUGAUGAAGAAAGAUCAUAUACAUCAUAUGCUCCUCGUGAACUUUCUGAAUACAAUCAAAGACCGCUUUUGACACAAGCUUCCCUGGAACCAUCUGAAUACAAUCAGAGAUACCACCUCCUUGGCGGCGAGACCAAAUCCAUGUCCACAACAGUCUCAAACCGCUAUUCUUUUGGAGGACCCUCUGUCACACGCCGCUGAAUGAAUCUCUGCACUC